CCAGUGACAGCUGAGUUGUGGGCUGGCUGUUGCAGGCACUGCUGUCGGAGGCACUGGGGGUGCUGGGUGUGGUGCGGAAGGAGCGCCUCCUCUACCUGGUGGGGCAGACCCGGGUGCACCUGGACCGUGUGGAUGGCCUGGGGGAUUUCAUGGAGCUGGAGGUGGUACUGAAUGAGGAGCAGAGCCUCCAGGACGGGGAGCAGGUGGCCCGGGCACUGAUGGAGGAGCUGGGGGUCCGGGAGGAGGAUCUCAUCUCUGGGGCCUAUCUGGACCUGCUCCUGGCCCAGGGGGAGUUGCAGCAGUGAGCUUUAGCCCUGCCCUGGCUUGCACCCUGACUGCCAGGAAGACGGUCCGGAGUCCCCCCAUCCUCCAUGUACACAUCUCCCUGCCGCUGUGAUGGGUGGGCGGCUUAGGCCCUCCUCUGCCCAUCUGAGUGGGGGUGCAGCAUGAGUUCAGCCUCACCCUGCCCAAGGGGCUGCCUGUGAGGACAUGCCCUUGUUUCUAGGAUGUGCCCCCACCCCCAAGGGAGGGGCUGGCUGGCUUCAAUAAAUACUCAGUUCUGGACCAGG
Alligator sinensis (Chinese alligator) is the source of this 569-nucleotide long non-coding RNA. RefSeq lists it as uncharacterized. NCBI's taxonomy places the organism in Eukaryota, Metazoa, Chordata, Crocodylia, Alligatoridae. The transcript has 2 exons. The record is from RefSeq and is a predicted model, not a curated record.